UAGUUCUUUGAGAAAUAAGUGUUAUGGAAAGAGUACGGAAGCCUGUGAGAAUCAGGCACGGUCGCGCCGCUGUGACCGGCUACGAAACCUCGAUGCCAACCUGUUAAACCGGGUGAAGGCGGGGAAGUAGGAUUGAAGCCGGGAAGUCAGAAGACGUUUCUUUUCUUGCUCGUCUGA
Molecule: non-coding RNA, 177 nt
Filed under: Lentisphaerota bacterium
Lineage: Bacteria; Pseudomonadati; Lentisphaerota
Source: RNAcentral